CCUACGGGGGGCUGCAGUAGGGAAUUUCCCGCAAUGGCCGAAAGUCUGACGGACCAACCCCGCGUGACGAAAGAAGGUUUUCGGAUCGUAAAGCACGGUUGUUAGGGAAGACCAAGUGCGGUGGGAAAUGACAGAACCUCGACUCUACUUAACGAGAACACAACGCCUAACUACUGUCCAGCUCCGGCGGUAAUACGUAGGUGGCAAGCGUUGUCCGGAAUUGUAGGGCUUGAAGCGCGGGCAGGCGGCCUUUUAAGUCUGAUGUUAAAUCUUUCGUCUCAACCGCAAGCGGUCAUUGGAAACUGGAAGACUUGAGUGCAGAAGAGGAAAGCGGAAUUCCACGUGUAGCGGUGAAAUGCGUAGGGAUGUGGAGGAACACCAGUAGCGAAGGCGGCUUUCUGGUCUGUAACUGACGCUGAGGCGCGAAAGCGUGGGGAGCAAACAGGAUUAGAUACCCUAGUAGUC
This 465-nucleotide ribosomal RNA is filed under the name uncultured bacterium. RNAcentral describes it as "bacterial SSU rRNA". It matches the Rfam family "Bacterial small subunit ribosomal RNA", at positions 338 to 795 of the family's 1533-position model. The record is from RNAcentral.